UACGAAGGGUGCAAGCGUUACUCGGAAUUACUGGGCGUAAAGCGUGCGUAGGCGGUUUGUUAAGUCCGUUGUGAAAGCCCUGGGCUCAACCUGGGAAUUGCAGUGGAUACUGGCGAGCUAGAGUGCGGUAGAGGAUGGUGGAAUUCCCGGUGUAGCGGUGAAAUGCGUAGAGAUCGGGAGGAACACCCGUGGCGAAGGCGGCCAUCUGGACCAGCACUGACGCUGAGGCACGAAAGCGUGGGGAGCAAACGGG
This 253-nucleotide ribosomal RNA is filed under the name uncultured bacterium. RNAcentral's name for it is "partial 16S ribosomal RNA". It matches the Rfam family "Bacterial small subunit ribosomal RNA", at positions 524 to 776 of the family's 1533-position model. The record is from RNAcentral.